CAGAAAGCAGGCACAAGUCCCUCCCAGCAUGAAGCCUACAGAAGCCACUGGAUCAACCUCACCCAACUGGGGAGCAGAGACCAAAAGCAAGAGGAACUACGCCGUAGGGAAAGGAGACCUCAAACACAGCUGCUCGUGAUGAAGAAUCCACUGGAAGCUCUGGAGGACAGGUGCUUGUCGUCUAAAGUUACACAGCUCUCCUCUCAACUUACCACCCCAGGAAAGGAAUUUUCACCAGAGCGGGAGGGAGCUGAGGAAGUCUGGGCGAUCCAUGACAAACCAUCUGAAAUCAUUUUAGCAGGCAGAGGAAUGAACACCUAGCCAGACGUUACGUUGCUUUUCAGAGAGUCUGCCAUGAAUGUGAGCUGACCUGUGAUCAAGGCACUUCAGCAAGGAACUGAGUGAGUCCUCUGACCAACGAUGAGAAACUAAGGACUUCAGUCCAACAUCCUGUGAAAAGUCACAUCCUAUCAGCAACCAGUGACCAGGAAAGAAGCAAAUUGACUCAGAGCUCUUUAAGACUUUCUCCUUGACCACUGACCUGUGUGUCUCUGAGGUCCAGCAGAGACAGUGAGCUUCAGCAGCUCAACGAAAUUGGAAGGAUUAUAAAGGGCUGUAUCGGACAUGGAGCAAGGAAUCCACGGAGCAUCAAUUGGCUGCAACAUGCCAAUAAAGAGGGAUCCAGUGCUUCUCUGACUCUGCCAGCAUCUGCAGCCUCCUGUGCCCAUGAGAGGUGUGUUAGACACAUUGAACUUGGUUCAGCCUUUCUGCUCAGCUGGAAGCAAAUUGUAACAGAGAGAUACAUACUGUGAGAUGCAUGACCUUCUACAGCAAGAUGGUAAAGGUAAAAGGAGAGAAGUACUCUAGGCAGCUCAUGGCUUUCAAAGGAAUGCAAACUUUCUUUCAAAUCCAACGUAAACUUUGGUAUUUAAUUCAAAUUCACCCACUGACUCUAGUAAAAAAAAAUAUAACUGAAUUGGUAAUGGAGCAGAAAUUAAAACUCAUGACUUAUGUUUUGUGCAUUUUGCCAAGUUCACCAAAUAUCAGUGACUGUUUGGAUUGAACCAUUCUGUCCCUUCUGCUGCAAAUUCUUGCAUUUUGAUUCUAUGUAGGCAUACCAGAAAUAGAGGCAAAAAUGAAAGAAAACAAAAAUAAUCACAAAUUCAAAGGUACUAAUAUCGUCAUCAAACGGAAUUUCAAAACGUAGAAGCAAAAGAGAAAUUCCUCCUCAUUGUGUUCAUAUCUGUGCUGCUGCUGCUGCUAAGUUGCUUCAGUCGUGUCCGACUCUGUGCGACCCCAUAGACGGCAGCCCACCAGGC
Long non-coding RNA from Bubalus bubalis (water buffalo), 1319 nucleotides. RefSeq lists it as uncharacterized. Lineage: Eukaryota; Metazoa; Chordata; Mammalia; Artiodactyla; Bovidae. The transcript is spliced from 4 exons. The record is from RefSeq and is a predicted model, not a curated record.